GGGGGGCGGUUGUUGGGGUAUUGGGCGUAAGGGCGUGUAGGCGGCUCAUCAAGUCUGGUGUGAAAUCGCAGGGCCUAACCUUGCGCACGCGCUGGAAACUGGUGGGCUGGAGUGCCGGAGGGGAAGCUGGAAUUCCAGGUGUAGGGGUGAAAUCUGUAGAUAUCUGGAAGAACACCGGUGGCGAAGGCGAGCUUCUAUUCGGACACUGACGCUGAGGCGCGAAAGCGUGGGGAGCAAACAGGAUUAGAUACCCUGGUAGUCCACGCUGUAAACGAUGUGCACUAGGCGUGGGGCACGUACGUGUUCUGUGCCGUAGCUAACGUGAUAAGUGCACCGCCUGGGGAGUAUGCUCGCAAGGGUGAAACUCAAAGGAAUUGACGGGGGCCCGCACAAGCGGUGGAGCAUGUGGUUUAAUUCGACGCAACGCGAAGAACCUUACCUGGGCUUGACAUCCCUGGAACCUCCUGGAAACAGGGGGGUGCCCGCAAGGGAGCCAGGAGACAGGUGCUGCAUGGCUGUCGUCAGCCCGUGUCGUGAGAUGUUGGGUUAAGUCCCGCAACGAGCGCAACCCUCACCCUCAGUUGCCACCGGGUCAUGCCGGGCACUCAGAGGGAACUGCCCCGGAUAACGGGGAGGAAGGUGGGGAUGACGUCAAGUCCUCAUGGCCUUUAUGUCCAGGGCUACACACACGCUACAAUGGGCAGUACAAUGGGUCGCUAAGCCGCGAGGUAGAGCCAAUCCCCAAAGCUGUCCUCAGUUCAGAUCGCAGGCUGCAACCCGCCUGCGUGAAGUCGGAGUUGCUAGUAAAUGCGCGUCAGCUAUAGCGCAUUGAAUACGUUCUCGGGCCUUGUACACACCGCCCGUCACGUCAUGGGAGCUGGUAACACCUGAAGCCGGUAGUCUAACCGCAAGGAGGACGCCGUCGAAAGUGGUGCUGGUGACUGGGACGAAGUCGUAACAAGGUAAC
RNAcentral lists this ribosomal RNA (967 nucleotides) under uncultured bacterium. RNAcentral's name for it is "bacterial SSU rRNA". It matches the Rfam family "Bacterial small subunit ribosomal RNA", at positions 533 to 1500 of the family's 1533-position model. The record is from RNAcentral.